GCCGGGCGCGGUGGCGCGCGCCUGUAGUCCCAGCUACUCGGGAGGCUGAGGCCUGAGGAUCGCUUGAGUCCAGGAGUUCUGGGCUGUCAUGCGCUAUGCCGAUCGGGUUCGGCAUCAAUAUGGUGACCUCCCGGGAGCGGGGGACCACCAGGUUGCCUAAGGAGGGGUGAACCGGCCCAGGUCGGAAAGGGGAGACUGAGGGCAUCAGUCGUUGGACUACAGCUUGUCUCCGGGACUUUCAACCUGUCCUCCCGGGGCUGCAGCCUUU
Molecule: unclassified non-coding RNA, 268 nt
Organism: Oryctolagus cuniculus (rabbit)
Lineage: Eukaryota; Metazoa; Chordata; Mammalia; Lagomorpha; Leporidae
Rfam family: Metazoan signal recognition particle RNA
About the family: The signal recognition particle (SRP) is a universally conserved ribonucleoprotein. It is involved in the co-translational targeting of proteins to membranes.
Source: Ensembl